RNAcentral lists this long non-coding RNA (835 nucleotides) under Betta splendens (Siamese fighting fish). Its description in RNAcentral is "lncRNA (ENSBSLG00000023863.1)". The record is from RNAcentral. Lineage: Eukaryota; Metazoa; Chordata; Actinopteri; Anabantiformes; Osphronemidae.
UUGGACCUACCUGUCAUUUAGCUCCGCCCCCUCUACGGUUGCUGAGGCAGGUACAGAAAAAAAAAGUUUUCCUUUAAAGUGUUGAGUCUCUAAUUUCUAAUUUGCGGUUCAAAUCUCACUUUGAACAUGCUGUUUUAGAGUGAUUUGUGCUGUCACCGCAUCAAAUCUGAAGCAGUUUAAUUGCAGAUUCCAAAUGCUGUAGUCGGUCCAGUUACAAUGAACAUCAAGCUUGUGGGGUCAUAUCCCAACCAAGGUCAGAAAUCAACCUGUGACAAAAAGCAAACACAACACGUCACUUUUGUGAACUUGCGUCAUUUCAUCAUGGAUCCUCCUCAUCAGCACAAAGGUCUUGAAGAAACUGAACACUGCACGUGAUGGGAUGUCAGGAUGCAGAACACGCAGCCUGUCACCAUGGUGACUGACAUGUUUCACCCCGCCCGUCUCACACAGACACAGCUGAGACUAUGGUCGCUGACCAGAAUCAAAGAGGAAACCGGGGCUGGCGGCUAAUGGAUCCACUGAAGAGAGUGGGACGAGUGAAGAGACGCGAACAGCAGGAAAGACUGACAGAAAAUGACCGGAUGAUUUAAAAAAAAAAAAAAAAAAAAAGGGGAGGGGAGGGGAAAGUAGGAGCUGUUUGUUUCAGAGCUGAAGAUGAAUGAUGGAUGUCAAUCACAUCAAGCUCUGUUCUUGGUUAUUUCUAUUUCUGUUCUUUGUUACUCUUCCCACUGCACAUUUACUUUAUUAAAAAUGUCCUUGCACCAUAACUACAUGUUACUUAUUUACACAAAGCAGCAUUUAUUAGUUUAGCCUAUCAAUAAAUAAAAAAACGCAU